RNAcentral lists this ribosomal RNA (261 nucleotides) under uncultured prokaryote. Its description in RNAcentral is "partial 16S ribosomal RNA". It matches the Rfam family "Bacterial small subunit ribosomal RNA", at positions 524 to 784 of the family's 1533-position model. The record is from RNAcentral.
UACGUAGGGUACAAGCGUUGUCCGGAAUUAUUGGGCGUAAAGAGCUCGUAGGCGGUCCGUCGCGUCUGCUGUGGAAACGCAGGGCUCAACCCUGCGCGUGCAGUGGGUACGGGCGGACUGGAGUGCAGUAGGGGAGUCUGGAAUUCCUGGUGUAGCGGUGAAAUGCGCAGAUAUCAGGAGGAACACCGGUGGCGAAGGCGGGACUCUGGGCUGUUACUGACGCUGAGGAGCGAAAGCAUGGGGAGCGAACAGGAUUAGAUA